RNAcentral lists this long non-coding RNA (534 nucleotides) under Solanum tuberosum (potato). Its description in RNAcentral is "long non-coding RNA (STUB_LNC011420)". Lineage: Eukaryota; Viridiplantae; Streptophyta; Magnoliopsida; Solanales; Solanaceae. The record is from RNAcentral.
GCUAUCCAUGAGAAUUUAAUUAAAUUAUACCAUAAGAUAAACAAAGGUUAGUCAAACACAAUAUCAAAUAGCAAAGGGAGGAUAUAUUGAAUUUGGGCAAUUUGGGCCUUCAGCCCAAAUUACUAAAUCUGCAAAAAUAACAAUUCAUUGGACUUUUGGCCCUUCUUCCAUCUUCAUUGAUCAUGAUAUACACCAAGUGUAUAUUCAAGGUGUACACCAUGUAUACCGCGGAUUCUCGAACUCCCGAACCUGUAAUUUCAUUUGGAUUUCGUAUUUCUGCACCUUUAACCUGUGUUUUCACGUUUUUGCCCUGUAUGUGAUAUUUUCUGACUGUAUAUUAGUGUAUACAACAGGUAUAUUAGCACUUUUCGGGCUUUUCGGACACUAGAAAAUCCGAAUUCCAGCUAUGUUAAACCUUCGGGGACCUGUACUUCAAUUUUCUGUUGGCUGACCCGAAUGAUAAAACAGGGCCUUCGUGGUUCGACUCGGAAAUGCAAGGAAGUGAAGUCCGUUGUGGACUCAAAGGGGUGCAUA